AACGAACGCUGGCGGCAUGCCUAACACAUGCAAGUCGAACGAGACCUUCGGGUCUAGUGGCGCACGGGUGCGUAACGCGUGGGAACCUGCCCUUAGGUUCGGAAUAACUCAGAGAAAUUUGAGCUAAUACCGGAUAAUGUCUUCGGACCAAAGAUUUAUCGCCUUUGGAUGGGCCCGCGUAGGAUUAGCUUGUUGGUGGGGUAAUGGCCUACCAAGGCGACGAUCCUUAGCUGGUCUGAGAGGAUGAUCAGCCACACUGGGACUGAGACACAGCCCAGACUCCUACGGGAGGCAGCAGUGGGGAAUAUUGGACAAUGGGCGAAAGCCUGAUCCAGCAAUGCCGCGUGAGUGAUGAAGGCCUUAGGGUUGUAAAGCUCUUUUACCAGGGAUGAUAAUGACAGUACCUGGAGAAUAAGCUCCGGCUAACUCCGUGC
RNAcentral lists this ribosomal RNA (434 nucleotides) under uncultured bacterium. RNAcentral describes it as "bacterial SSU rRNA". It matches the Rfam family "Bacterial small subunit ribosomal RNA", at positions 29 to 508 of the family's 1533-position model. The record is from RNAcentral.